CCUCAGUAACGGCGAGUGAAGCGGCAAUAGCUCAAAUUUGAAAUCUGGCCCUUUCAGGGUCCGAGUUGUAAUUUGCAGAGGGCGCUUUGGCGUCGGCAGUAGCCUAAGUUCCUUGGAACAGGUCAUCAUAGAGGGUGAGAAUCCCGUAUGUGGCUGCCUGCCUUCGCCGUGUAAAGCCCCUUCGAUGAGUCGAGUUGUUUGGGAAUGCAGCUCUAAAUGGGAGGUAAAUUUCUUCUAAAGCUAAAUAUUGGCCAGAGACCGAUAGCGCACAAGUAGAGUGAUCGAAAGAUGAAAAGCACUUUGGAAAGAGAGUCAAAAAGCACGUGAAAUUGUUGAAAGGGAAGCGCUUGCAGCCAGACGUGCCCGCAGUUGCUCAUCUGGGGUUUUCCCCAGUGCACUCUUCUGUGGGCAGGCCAGCAUCAGUUCAGGCGGUUGGAGAAAGACCUGUGUCAUGUAGCUCUCUUCGGGGAGUGUUAUAGGGCAGGUGGAAUGCAACCAGCUUGAACUGAGGUCCGCGCAUCUGCUAGGAUGCUGGCGUAAUGGCUGUAAGCGGCCCGUCUUGAAACACGGACCAAGGAGUCUAACAUCUAUGCGAGUGUUUGGGUGUCAAGCCCGAGCGCGUAAUGAAAGUGAACGGAGGUGGGAACCCCUCGGGGUGCACCAUCGACCGAUCCUGAUGUCUUCGGAUGGAUUUGAGUAAGAGCAUAGCUGUUGGGACCCGAAAGAUGGUGAACUAUGCCUGAAUAGGGUGAAGCCAGAGGAAACUCUGGUGGAGGCUCGCAGCGGUUCUGACGUGCAAAUCGAUCGUCAAAUUUGGGCAUAGGGGCGAAAGACUAAUCG
Molecule: ribosomal RNA, 840 nt
Filed under: Beverwykella pulmonaria
Lineage: Eukaryota; Fungi; Ascomycota; Dothideomycetes; Pleosporales; Melanommataceae
Description: eukaryotic LSU rRNA
Rfam family: Eukaryotic large subunit ribosomal RNA
Source: RNAcentral